UUACCAAACGUUCCCUCGGCGGGCUCAGCGCGCGGCGGCCUCCGGGCCUCCGGGCGUCCGCCGGGGAAAACCAAACCCUGAUUUAAUCGUAUUUUCUGAGGGGCGAAAGCCCGAAAACAAAAUGAAUCAAAACUUUCAACAACGGAUCUCUUGGCUCUGGCAUCGAUGAAGAACGCAGCGAAAUGCGAUAAGUAAUGUGAAUUGCAGAAUUCAGUGAAUCAUCGAAUCUUUGAACGCACAUUGCGCCCGCCGGCACUCCGGCGGGCAUGCCUGUCCGAGCGUCAUUUCAACCCUCAGGCCCACCCUUCCGGGGGAGCGGGCCUGGUGCUGGGGAUCGGCGGCCCUCGCGGCCCCCGUCCCUCAAAUUCAGUGGCGGUCGCGCCGCAGCCUCCCCUGCGUAGUAGCACAACCUCGCACCGGAGAGCGGAACGACCACGCCGUGAAACCCCCAA
RNAcentral lists this ribosomal RNA (452 nucleotides) under Sordariomycetes sp. B1A0063SNA2CC475. Its description in RNAcentral is "eukaryotic LSU rRNA". The stretch from base 131 to 284 matches the Rfam family "5.8S ribosomal RNA". Lineage: Eukaryota; Fungi; Ascomycota; Sordariomycetes. The record is from RNAcentral.